This 408-nucleotide ribosomal RNA is filed under the name Triticum aestivum (bread wheat). Its description in RNAcentral is "partial small subunit ribosomal RNA". The record is from RNAcentral. Lineage: Eukaryota; Viridiplantae; Streptophyta; Magnoliopsida; Poales; Poaceae.
AUGAACUUCCACGACGUCCACACGCUGCAGCAGGCGCUGGACGUCGCCCCGCCGCCUCGUCUUCGCACGGCACAAGACCGUGCUUAUCACGCUGAGCGGAAGAACCGCCUCGCCCAUGAGGACGAGCGGGUCAUGGCGGAGUGGCGCCAGCAACACCCGAAGGACGUCUCCUACGAGCAAGCCUACUGGGCAAGGCGCCACGAGGAGGAGACGCAAAGGCACCGCGCUGAGCAGUUGGACAGGCGUCGGCAGAAGGCCCUGGCGCUAUCCCAAUGCGAUGUCGUUGAGAAUGGUGGUGAGAUGAUCUUUACGUCCGAUGAUGAUCGUUGGGAAGACAUGCAACUCGAUACCUCGGAUCAGACCAGCGUGGAUGGCGACGAUGACGAUGAUGACGACGACUGGGAGUAG